Molecule: long non-coding RNA, 231 nt
Filed under: Gossypium barbadense (sea-island cotton)
Lineage: Eukaryota; Viridiplantae; Streptophyta; Magnoliopsida; Malvales; Malvaceae
Description: long non-coding RNA (GBAR_LNC011241)
Source: RNAcentral
UUGUUUAUCUAUCAACAACCUUUCAUUUUAUACCAUAAAUUUCAAAUUUUCAGCAUAUUCAUCCACCGAAAAAUUUCUAUAAUUUGAUAUCUUUUCAAAUUAAUCCCCAAAAUAGAUAGAUUAAACUCUCUCGAUUUCAAAAAUAUAAAAAUUAGUAAAAACGGGACAAGAAAACAUACGUAAUUAAGCUUGAUUAGUUUCCUUUCUCUCUCCUAGGGUUUCCAUGCAAAU